CGCUGGCGGCGUGCCUAACACAUGCAAGUCGAGCGGGGUCCAUCCGGUAGCAAUACCGGGGAAGACCUAGCGGCGAACGGGUGAGUAACACGUGAGAAACCUGCCCCGAAGUCUGGGAUAACCCGAGGAAACUCGAGCUAAUACCGGAUGUCUUCUUCUGAUCGCAUGGUCGGAUGAAGAAAGAUUUAUCGCUUCGGGAGGGUCUCGCGGCCUAUCAGCUAGUUGCGGGUAAGGCCCACCAAGGCGUCGACGGGUAGCUGGUCUGAGAGGACGAUCAGCCACACUGGGACUGAGACACGGCCCAGACUCCUACGGGAGGCAGCAGUGGGGAAUAUUGCGCAAUGGGCGAAAGCCUGACGCAGCAACGCCGCGUGCGGGAUGAAGGCCUUCGGGUUGUAAACCGCUUUCAGUGGGGACGAAUUCAGACGGUACCCACAGAAGAAGCCCCGGCCAACUACGUG
RNAcentral lists this ribosomal RNA (461 nucleotides) under uncultured bacterium. RNAcentral describes it as "bacterial SSU rRNA". It matches the Rfam family "Bacterial small subunit ribosomal RNA", at positions 34 to 507 of the family's 1533-position model. The record is from RNAcentral.